RNAcentral lists this ribosomal RNA (380 nucleotides) under uncultured bacterium. Its description in RNAcentral is "bacterial SSU rRNA". It matches the Rfam family "Bacterial small subunit ribosomal RNA", at positions 28 to 409 of the family's 1533-position model. The record is from RNAcentral.
GACGAACGCUGGCGGCGUGCUUAACACAUGCAAGUCGAGCGGUAAGGCCCUUUCGGGGGUACACGAGCGGCGAACGGGUGAGUAACACGUGGGUGACCUGCCUUUAGCUCUGGGAUAAAGCCUGGGAAACUGGGUCUAAUACCGGAUAUGACCCUAUGGCGCAUGUUGCGGGGUGGAAAGCCUUGUGCGGCUAGGGAUGGGCCCGCGGCCUAUCAGCUUGUUGGUGGGGUGAUGGCCACCAAGGCGACGACGGGUAGCCGGCCUGAGAGGGCGACCGGCCACACUGGGACUGAGACACGGCCCAGACUCCUACGGGAGGCAGCAGUGGGGAAUCUUGCGCAAUGGGCGAAAGCCUGACGCAGCGACGCCGCGUGAGGGAU